GCCCAGACUCCUACGGGAGGCAGCAGUGGGGAAUAUUGCACAAUGGGGGAAACCCUGAUGCAGCGACGCCGCGUGAGUGAAGUAGUAAUUCGUUAUGUAAAGCUCUAUCAGCAGGGAAGAAAAUGACGGUACCUGAGUAAGAAGCCCCGGCUAACUACGUGCCAGCAGCCGCGGUAAUACGUAGGGGGCAAGCGUUAUCCGGAUUUACUGGGUGUAAAGGGGGCGUAGACGGCAGUGCAAGUCUGGAGUGAAAGGCGGGGGCUCAACCCCCGGACUGCUCUGGAAACUGUACGGCUGGAGUGCAGGAGAGGUAAGUGGAAUUCCUAGUGUAGCGGUGAAAUGCGUAGAUAUCAGGAGGAACACCGGCGGCGAAGGCGGCCUGCUGGACCGUGACUGACGUUGAGGCUCGAAAGCGUGGGGAGCAAACAGGAUUAGAUACCCGCGUAUG
This 448-nucleotide ribosomal RNA is filed under the name uncultured bacterium. Its description in RNAcentral is "bacterial SSU rRNA". It matches the Rfam family "Bacterial small subunit ribosomal RNA", at positions 329 to 793 of the family's 1533-position model. The record is from RNAcentral.